RNAcentral lists this ribosomal RNA (497 nucleotides) under uncultured bacterium. Its description in RNAcentral is "partial 16S ribosomal RNA". It matches the Rfam family "Bacterial small subunit ribosomal RNA", at positions 28 to 507 of the family's 1533-position model. The record is from RNAcentral.
GACGAACGCUGGCGGCGUGCCUAAUACAUGCAAGUUGAGCGAUGAAGAUUGGUGCUUGCACCAAUUUGAAGAGCAGCGAACGGGUGAGUAACGCGUGGGGAAUCUGCCUUUGAGCGGGGGACAACAUUUGGAAACGAAUGCUAAUACCGCAUAAUAACUUUAAACAUAUGUUUUAAGUUUGAAAGAUGCAAUUGCAUCACUCAAAGAUGAUCCCGCGUUGUAUUAGCUAGUUGGUGAGGUAAAGGCUCACCAAGGCGAUGAUACAUAGCCGACCUGAGAGGGUGAUCGGCCACAUUGGGACUGAGACACGGCCCAAGCUCCUACGGGGAGCAGCAGUAGGGGAUCUUCGACGAAGGACGAAAGUCUGACCGGGCAACGCCGCGUGAGUGAAUAAGGUUUUCGGAUCGUAAAACUCUGUUGGUAGAGAAGAACGUUGGUGAGAGUGGAAAGCUCAUCAAGUGACGGUAACUACUCAGAAAGGUACGGCUAACUACGUG